CCUACGGGUGGCUGCAGUCGAGGAUCUUCGGCAAUGGGCGCAAGCCUGACCGAGCGACGCCGCGUGCGGGAUGAAGGCCUUCGGGUUGUAAACCGCUGUCGGGGGGGAGGAAAGCCCGCGAGGGCUUGACCUAUCCCCGGAGGAAGCACGGGCUAAGUUCGUGCCAGCAGCCGCGGUAAGACGAACCGUGCGAACGUUGUUCGGAAUCACUGGGCUUAAAGGGCGCGUAGGCGGCCCGCGGGGUCUCGGGUGAAAUCUUCCGGCUCAACCGGAAAACGGCCCGGGAUACCGGCGGGCUCGAGGGGGGUAGGGGCAACGGGAACGACCAGUGGAGCGGUGAAAUGCGUUGAGAUUGGUAGGAACGCCGGUGGCGAAAGCGCGUUGCUGGACCCCCCCUGACGCUGAGGCGCGAAAGCUAGGGGAGCAAACGGGAUUAGAUA
Molecule: ribosomal RNA, 440 nt
Filed under: uncultured bacterium
Lineage: Bacteria
Description: bacterial SSU rRNA
Rfam family: Bacterial small subunit ribosomal RNA
Source: RNAcentral